UGGUGAGACAGUGGCCGAUGCCAUCUCCACGGCUAGCUGUGCUGUGACGUCCAGAACGAUUGGUGCUCAUGUGUAUGCCUUACCAGGGGACCUGAAGCUAAGUUACGUUCUUAUGUGUCUUAUGGCGUGUAAAACAUAAACAUGUCGCAGAUAUGGGUUGGGAUUAACUUCUCAUUGCCAUAAUAGGAAGUAACUUGUGUUGCGUUAACUGAACAAACUCUUGGUUGGUGGUAAGGUGCUUGUGUGUUUUGUUGAUAUGCCGAGUGACGUUGCUUUAAGAACAUUUUAUAUAAGGAUAUUUUGUAAAUGGAGGCUCCUUUUGCACUCAGGGCUUCAGUCCAUUUCUGUGGUGUACAGGCCUGGUGUGUGGCUGAUUUGGUUUCUGUGACUUGGAUUCUAUUCGAUUAGUUACUGUAAAUUCUGUUGUUUACAAAAGCAGCGUCUUCCCUGGUUCACCAUCUGUUGUCGUUUCUGUUUUAUGCCAUGGUCAGUGGUUGUCGGGAACCUAGACCAUUACAUAAUCUGCCUCGUGUCGUUUUCUUGGGUCCCGAAAGGGAGACAGGUGGCUGAAGAGCCUAUUAAAGUAAUUUCAAAGUCCUUUAGAGACACUAGACUUCUCGGCGUCGUCACCCUUACAGAAACUGAAUCAGCUAUGCAUUGGGCUUGUAUACCGUAGAAACAGACUGAAGCCUUGUGUGCAGAAGUAGCCAUUGCUCUCGAAAAUUAAACCAAAACAAACGGCAACAUUACUUGGGAUUUCAUCAAAGCGCACUCAGCACCCUGCCACCCAAUAAGAGAUCAUGAUUAUUCCCGCUAUUUCUAUGUUAAACCUGAUUUUCUAUUUCUAUGUUAGAACUAAAAUUACAAUCAAAACUUCCUACCAUGCCCCAUACACAUAGUUAACGUAGUAACGUUCUUUAAGUGUUAGGUAUAGUCUUUCCCAUAUUUCUUAGUUUAAUAUUUGUGUAAUCUUUUCUACCGAGGAUCGUCGGACAGUAAGAAGAAAUGCCUGGACGUGGACGCAAGGACUGACGAAGGAAGGUGCCGAACGUGAACGAAAGGAACUUCGCAGUCUUUCCGCACGUAUGACAAGCAAUGUGUCUGGAAAGGUGGGCAAGGGACGUGCCAGGCGCCACAGUCACUGAAUGCGCUUCAUAACAUCCGGACAGACAGUGGUCUUGGCGGAAGGCAUCUUUGUGACUCCUUGGUGAUUUCUUGGAUGUCUUCAGCAGCUUUUUGGGAUGACAUUCCGGAUGUUUAGAAGACAGUCCGUAUAUAUAAAUCAGCUCUGCAAUUAAUCAAGAGCUACUGGACAUCAGUCUUUUCAGACAUUUGACAAGAAAUGUCUGGACGUCGUAAGGGAGGAAAGGAGCUGGGGAAGGGAGGAGUAAAGCAUAGCAUCACCAUCACCGAGGGUGCUUCGCGACAAUAGCCAGUGCAUCAUCAAGUCAAGGAGGACUGGUUGACCAGUCUAGGUGUAAGGCAGCUGAUGCGUGCAUACGCCCUUGCUCUGCGUCUGAACCUGUACAUGGAGGAGUGAAGCAGACCAGGAGACUGUUGACUGGAUUAACACCACUUUACAGCAAGUUGGGAAGGAGACAUCUCUCAGCAGCUUCCAGGAUCUUAUUGAUGCCAUCAAGCCCGGAGCAACUCCAGCUGCAAUGUUCAUGGUCAUGGUGGGACAAGAAGGUCAAAUGUGUCUUAUGGGGAGGUGUUAGAUGGCAACAUGCUGAGAUGGGCUCACUAACUUAUCAUCUGUAUGAUAGGAAGUAAAUGAAUUGUCAAGUUUCGCCUAUUGCUUUGAAUGUACAAUUCACUCCGUAGCUAUUAGAGGGUUAGGGCAUUUUGUGAAUGGAUGCUCCUUUUGCACCCAGGGCUUCAGUCCGUUUCUGUGGUGUACAGGACUGGUGUGUGGCUGAUUUAUUGUCUGUGACUGUGUGGGAUUGUAUUCGGUCAGUUAUUGUAAAUCAUAAAAAUCUGUUCUUUAGAAAACGGGGAUUUCCCUGGUUCACCAUCUGUUGUAAUUGCUGUUUUAUGUCAUGGUCAGUGGUUGUCGGGAACCUAGACCAUUACAUAAUCUGCCUUGUGUAGUUUUUCUUGGGUCCCGAACCAAGAGAACGACACAGGCCAGAAAGUAAGACAUUUGGUUGAAGAGCCUAUUAAAUAUUAGCAAUUUAGUCCUUUGAAAUGCUAGACUUCUUGGUAUCGGCACAGUCCCAGAAACCAAAUCAAUGCAAACAGAAUGCAAAGUGUACGGUUUUACAAUCAUCAUGUAUAUUGACUGACGUUAGAUACAUGUAGUUUCUGAGUCAAGGUCUCGUCUUUUAGAGGGUUGAAGUGUGCUGUUUAGAUGCUUUUUGAAAGCAGACUCUGUUUUUGAUUCUAUCUAAUCAUAUCGUGCCAUUCCAGUACAGGGGUGGCUGACACUGAAUUGAUUUUUGUUUUGUUUCAUGCCCUUUGUAUGCCUCACUUAGCCAUUAAGUUUUGUGCAUUUCAUUUGUAUUCUUGUACAAAAGUGAUCUACAGAUUAGAAUUCAGUAGAUGUCAAUCAUUUGCCUGUUUAUUGUGUGGAGGUUGUUUGUAGCCUUUUAAAUCAGUCCGUUGGAAAUUUUCCUACCUAAGGCUUAGGCUGGUGCUGAGACUAACACAAUGGUCAAUGCCACAUACACAUACACACACUAACAGACUAACCCCACCAUACACACACUAACGCAACAUCUUUUUGUAGAACACUAAUAACCAGCUAAAUGCCUGAGCCUACAAAAAACUUUUUUUAUGUUUCUUCAAGUACCAAGGCUCCAAACUACCUCUAUACCAUGUACUGGCAAUGUCAAUAUUUACUGAUUCUAGGCUCUGUUAGCCACUAUAUGCCCUAGAGUAAUCUAUUGUGUGAAAUUUUUUACAUAUCAUACACUUUGUAUUAAUCUGUUUUGUCAACAAUUGUUAAUAAACAAAUAUGUUGAAA
This is a long non-coding RNA of Branchiostoma floridae (Florida lancelet), 2965 nucleotides long. RefSeq lists it as uncharacterized. Lineage: Eukaryota; Metazoa; Chordata; Leptocardii; Amphioxiformes; Branchiostomatidae. The record is from RefSeq and is a predicted model, not a curated record. The transcript is spliced from 5 exons.